AAUCUAUACUUAUUUUUUUUCUAUCAAUUUUGCGGGCGAAACAAAAUCUAAAACCAAACCUGCGAAGUAGCAGAGAGAGGAGAGAAGAGAAGAGAGAAAGAACAAUGAUAGAUUCAGUCUACACUCCUGCAGCCCAAUGCGCCAACUUGGGGGUCAAUGAAGGGGCACACAUGGGCAUAUACAAGAGUGUUACAUGGUUUGAAAAUACAAAACUCCUUUCAACCAGUGGUGGCGUCGUGCCUUGUUAACUUCCUUUAUCAUGAUUAUGCAAGAGACUCAAACACAAGAGCAAAGCAAACUGCUUCUACAACAGUUUGGUAUCAACUACGAGAGGGAACCGGUCAUAUUCCAUAGAGGAUCCUGUGUUUACAGAGAUAAGGUGGGAGAGAGCGUGUAGGAUGCUGAAGGUAGAGAUCAUGUUCAACGUUCUCUGAAGGAGUCAUUGCUAAUCUUUUAGAAUUUCUUUAUAGGCUUUGUAUAUAAAUUUUAUAUGGAAUUUUGCUACAGAUAUGUGGUUUUUUUAUCUAAUUACUUCAUGGUUUU
Macadamia integrifolia is the source of this 543-nucleotide long non-coding RNA. RefSeq lists it as uncharacterized. Lineage: Eukaryota; Viridiplantae; Streptophyta; Magnoliopsida; Proteales; Proteaceae. The record is from RefSeq and is a predicted model, not a curated record. The transcript has 3 exons.